CGCCUUUCGGCCGAUUCGAGGCUCGUUAGCGCGGCUCGAGUGACGGGGGGUUUCAGUCGGUCUUCGAAAACGCGACAAGCAACUUGCUGAGAGAACCGGCAGACCACGUGGAAUAAGGAGAGGGAAGAGCAGAGGUGAAAAGCGAGGAGCACAAGAAACAAAGCAACGAUAAACAAGAGUCACCGUGGUAAUUAAAAAGUUAAGCUGCUAAGUAGCGAUACAAUCGCGAAGGCAGCGCAAAGUGAAGGACAAAUACAAGAGGAGAAAGAGGGGUUGGUUUGACUUGGAUGAAAUAGCUAGGGAGAAUAGAAACAGCAACUUGGAUGAAACAACUCUGUGGACUAAGCACGGAAUAAGGCUAAGCAGUGAGUGUAGCAUGGUUCGAGAAAGAGAUAGACACGCUUGACAGUUACUUCUUCGGAUAAUAGAACCGUUUCGUAAGCUCCAAUUACCAGCAUCGUCGAGAACCAUCUAACGCGAGCCUUCUAAAGUAGCACGCUAGCUAAGAAUUCUCUCUCUCUCUCUCUCUCUUUUUCUGUUGCACUGUUUACAAUUUCGAUGUUUGUUCGACGACGAAGGAAGGGUUUCUCCACCGCAAACUCGAUGUUCGCAGAAAUCUUACCAUUCUGUCCAGUCUCGUAUAGUCUUCUCCCUGCUCCUCCUUCUACGAUGUUUUCUCUUCCUCUUAUCUCGUUCUUUUCCUUUUUUACCCUGCUCGGUCGAGACGGUUCGCCAACCGCUACUCUGUAACGGCGACCCCGGCGAAACUUUCUAGACUCCCGAUUUCUCGGUGUCGCGCGCGAAGCGAGGAAAGAAAUCUUCGGCAAGACAAACUCGGCCCGCGAUCAAACGAACGUCGCCACGGCGCGUCUACUCUUUAUUUUUCCACGACAACACGGUAUUAAAAACGGGAGAGGUGUAAUGAACGCGAAGAACAAAGACCAACGCGAAAGUUUUCUUUAGAUUUAUCGCUUCCAAGUAGAGUAAAAAAAAAAAAAAAAAAAACAAGGAAGGGAAAGAAGAACUACGUCGUCGCGGUGUUAACCAAGUCUAGGAUUACCAAAGACCAUACUCGAGGAAUAAUUUUAUUUGGGCGUGAAACGAGAACGAAAAAUCGGGAAAAUGAGAAGUGUAAACAAGUUUGCACGGAGAAGAAAAAAAAAAGAAACUAGUAUAAGGAGGAUUUCGCGAACAGAACCGUGAGAAUUUUUCAUUGCAACUUUCGUAAAAUUUUGUUUGUCUUUUCUUCUUCGCGAUGCGGCCCGGUUGCCGCUGCCUUCGCCGUGAUUAUCCGCGGAACGGAUUUAAAACUGCGUUAGCGCCGGCUCUACGAGCACCGGUGCGCCACCGUCAUUACAUUUAUUUACAAGUUUCCAAGAACAGCGUCGCGCCGUGUCUAAAUACCCAAGUAAAAAAGAGGAAAAGAGAGUUGGUGCGCGAAAUCCUUAAGGAUUUCUUUUUUCCUGAAUUCAUCGCUCGCGUAUCUAUGCAAAACACGAGCAGAACAUACGUAUAUCGCUGAAACUGACUGUGGAAUAAGUAGAAUGUAUUAUGAGUAGAAUGUACUAUAAAGUAAAAUGUAAUAUUCUGAACGUCUCCUUAACAUCUCAAGUUUACUACUGAUAGAGUUCUUGAGAAAAAGGAAAAUUGGGUACCUACACUAUAAUAAAAUAAAAUAAGAGAUAUCUGGUUUAAAUAUACUUAAUGCUACUUAAAAAAAUUCCAAUAUGACCACAUUUUUUAAAGAAAUGGAAUUACGUGUUCUUACUAUCGUCGAUUUAUUGUACUUUCAAGAGCGUUCAAGAAUGUCAAUAUCUCGUUGAAACCAAAUUAUUAAAAAUGAAUAUUUCGUCAGUGCUAACCUAAUACAAUUAAUCAUAGCUUAACUCGAAAAUUGUGCCAAUAAGUAUACUAAAGCCUAACAGAUCCAACGUCUAUCUUCUAAGGAGAGAAACAUCAGUUCUUAACCAUACCGAAUGACAAAUCACGUCCCAGAGUUAAUAGAUUUCCGAGAAAGCGGGGUGGAAAUGUAGAAGCAUAAAUUUACGGUCAACCCGAGAGAAAAAAGGGUUUUCCUUUUUUACCCUAGUUCGCGCGUAUUCGAGAGGCGAGAUUGUUACCAGAGAGGCAAAAAGCAAGAAGGAGAGAGAGAGAGAGAGAGAGAGAGAGAGAAGAAGAAGAAGAAUGAGAGAAAGAGCUGUUGGUCUCUCGAAUGCGGCGGCUGGCGGCGCAGAAGAGCCUCAUCAAACUGAAAUUUCGCCGGGGUCUUAUCCUAAAUUCAUCGUUGCAAUAAACUCCGCGUUACAGCUUGUACACGACCAGUGCCUACCCCCCUCCCUCCCACCCCCGAGACGAGGGAUGUCGGCUCCAAAACGCGACAGGCGAGAAAAGGGAAAGGAGGAAAGAAACACGAGGGUGAACACGAGGCGUUAGGGAUAGAAAUUCCGAAGGCAAAGCAGGAGUCUCGAAGUUAUACAGAGUGGCCUGCGCGCGAAAUGUAUAUUUAAUGCCAUCAUUCUGGAAAGCAGCGGACCUGCCCGUUUAUAUUUCAGUGCUUGGCAGAAUUGUUUGCUACUUUUUCUUUCGCUGCCAACCCCUCGAUAUCCAGCCAUGUCAUCUUGUACAUGUACACACAUAAAAAAAAAAAAGAAAAGGAAAAAGAAAAAAAAAGGAAAUAUCGGGAGAGUACUCUCGUCGUAUAUUUUAUCGUUGUUUUCGGAUAUUCUUCUUUUAAUUUGUCGUAUAAUUAAAAAUGUUGACCAUAUUUCGAAGAAUCUUUGUUCCAUAUUUUCUUCUCUCCGCGAGGUGAAAAGAAAAGUACGGAGGAUGAGAAGUAGGCGGUAGCUUGAGUAAGAUCUCUUAAUUUCGCGUCGAGAUAACGCUCGGUCCCACAUCGUAAUAAGGGUAGAGUAGAAAUAAGAGAGGCUGAAUGAGAAGUUUUUAAUCAUCCUCCGUAUUCCCCAGUCGUUGCUCUUUCUGAACGCUGCUGUAUUUCUAGGUCACCGCGAAAUUUGACAAAAUGAUUUUUUUUUUGCAAACUUCGGGGCGCCGAAGUUUCUUUCGAAACUGCAGAGAACGUCGCACAGUAGUUUAAUAGUAAUAAGUUUGUUCAUAUAAAGUGUAUAUAAUUAUUUAUAUUUAUAUAAAAAAUGUAUUUUUACAUAUAAUAAAUUGUAUAUUACAUAGUGUAUAAUAAUAUAAUACAUAAAACACAAUAAUCAUUGAUUCGAAAAUACUUGGAAGCAAAUAAUUAUUCGUCAUCGCGGUCUUAUCUCAUCCUGGACCACUAUGCGUCGUGCAGAAGAAUUGAAGCAGUUUCGGAAAUUCCUUCUGAUUAAUGCAAUACCCAAGGCACAUUCUCGAUAGUCUCGAUCAAUCGCUCUAUUUAUUCAAAAAAUAUUUACACAGCGCAAAGAAUUAAAAGCGUUAGAAAUUAAUAUCGCUAAAAUUACACGCUGCACAGAGGGGUUGCUACCCUAUUGUGUUGUAUUUCACGUGAACUCGUCAGAUAAAUCACGAUUAACACAUCUGGUACCGAUGGUACGUUACAUUCGUCAGAGACACGAUUUUCAUUAAACGAACAAGUGUACUCUUCAGCUUAAUACUGAUAUAAAAUCAGAGGGAAAAUGUAACGAACGUGCGAGGAAUUAUCGUAAAUGAAUAUCGCGAUACAAUUUCCAGAAUCCAUUUCUUGCCCCUACGAAAGACCUGUGCGUUAUAUUUUUCAUCGAAAGUGUCACUGUACAACAGUGAUCAACAACAUCAAACAUCUCUGUACGUUUUAUCAUUAAUUUAUUUAUACCAUCUGUGAAUUUCAUCAUAUUCCCUAACGCCAUAGAUGAAAUUAUUUCUCCAAUCACUUCUGCCCGAGGAACAAAGCGGUCGCUUGUCAGGCGAAAAUUAACAAAUCAAAAUAGAAGAGCUACGGUGAUCGUGGUUGAAAUAAUAAAGCAGCCGAACUCAUUAUUACCGCGUUCCACGGGCAUAAAAAGCGCAUAAAUCUCGCGGACGUGGACCAAUAUAAUCCGACCAGCCGACUAGCAUCACCGGAAGCUCUCUCAGCCGCAGCAUCAGCAAAUCUGAGAGAGAGGCACAACGGGUAUCUCAUCCGCGGCUUUACAGCCGUGUAAAUCCCACGGAGGGCUUCUUAAUACUUUACUGCCGUCAUGUAAACGUAAAACCACCCCAGCGUCCAAUCUUCCGGAGUUGCAGUCGUCGCUGUUGCGCCAGGAGUUUCAGUCGGGGCUGAUGCGAUGCGGUUGCUCCGAAACGCGUAGGUGGUAUCAGCCGAUAUCGUGAAUCCUGAUCUUCACCCGGAUUGGACGUUGUUUUAUUGGACGUACCGGUGUUUUAUAGAUUCCGAUUUUCUCCGGCCCGAUGAAACCACUUGAGCUUCUCUCGUUUGAACUUUAACCUUUUCCCUCCUUCCUUCCUCCACUCUAUCCUGUUUCUGUGUACCACAUCACUCAGACACGAUUUGGAGUUCCGUAUUUUUGAUCGACGGACACGACGAUUUUCCUCGUCGAUCGAUCUCCAUCGAUGUAAACCAGUCGUUCUUUCUUCGUCGUUUCGUACCACGUAGUUUUUCCUAUUUUUUCUGCUUCUUUUUCUUCUUUGUCUUUACAUAGAACACUUUACCUUUCACGCUGGAAGAGCAGCACUGGAUAAAAUGCAGAAUCCGGCCUGGUUGAUCUUAUCAUUCGAUGCAUGUCUCCGUAGUCAACGAUAAAGAUACUGAGAUUGUCUGGCUCUAAAUCAUGGGUUUCCUUUGAAGAAUCUUCUACAUCGCGUCCACUCGGCUCUCCGUUUCGAGAGCAACGUUCAAGGAUAAGUUUCAAAGGAUUUUUCGAUUGAUUAGUCGGUGAUUGGACAUCGAAAAGAAUAGUAAAAUUGACAUAUAUAGAUAUGUUAUACGCGACUUUGGAAAAGUGAUUUACAUUUACCUUAGACUCGAUGACAUAGGGACGUACAGACUCGUGCUAACUUAAUAACAGUAAUAUUUCUAUGUUUCUUAUUAUUCAUAAGAUAUUUGUGAAAAAUUAGUAAAAGGUAUUAGAAUAUAAAAAUAACCACUUUCCUAUUAAACGUAUUUCAACAGCAUACGUACAUAACGUAUUUCAACUACCAUAUUACAGACAACAUACGUACUAUACAAUUUAACACAGUAAGAUAGAUCGAUAAAGAAGCCUAAACCUCAGGACUGAAAUAACUUUAUCCACCAACUUCGCGAGCCGUCAUUAUUCCGCAAUCUAAAGAAACAACGAAACAUGGAGAAACUUGUGCAAUUCCCUUCCAGGCGACGACCUCAUGUCAAUCCCUCGUAUCAAUCUAAUACCACAGUCGAUACUUUUCCAUAGCAUCGAGCAACUGAGAGUUCAGUUUGUUAAUUCGUUGGAAAAAAAGUACACGAAGCAACAGCGAAGUAAGAAAAUUACCGGGUACGAAUGAUUUGUUCCACGUGUUUUCGCGAGUAUGGCGCCAACGCUUCUGCAAGAUGCACGAGCCCCGACGAGUAUGUCCCCGGUCGUCCAUUGUGAGCACCACGUGUUAUAACUUGCGUGAAACGUAUGGGGCGCGGAGCAGUUCCCUCAGGACUGACGCACGGCCUCGAAACUUUUCUUCUCCCCCUUAUGAAAUUGUAACGCAGACACGGAUUAGCAUGGAGCCCAUUGUCUGGCCUGUGCGCCAGGGAAAAACGCACACGUUCGCGUGACACGUCGUGUCGCGGAACCACGCUGCGAUACCAUCGAAUCGAUCCCGUGUUACGCGAGAUGGACGGGCUAAGACCGCGUUUUCCGACUCCAUUUUCAUUGUUCCUCGUUCGUCGUCGACAGGUCUGGUUCGAUUUAAGUCGGUGAAAUUAAUGGAACCGACGAUCGUUCCCUCUCGCGAACCAAUUCUGUCGCGUUCAAACGCUUCAUUAUGGAAAUAGACAGCGAGCGAACUAUACCCAGUGCCAAUGAGGUAAUUUGGUAUACGCGUUACUCACGGAAUGGACUCUCGUCGAUCCUGGAUUAGGAUUGAUUGAUCGUGUCUUUGAUUACACCGCACCAUACCGCGCUUCGUGUUUAAUAUUCCGUUUGACGAGGAGGAGAAGUUGCAAAUUGUAUUUCCUUAUUGAGCUUUGUCUAUUAGGUUGGAGCAAUACGGAAUGAUACCUUUUUUAAGUCAGAUUUCUUAAACAUAUGUAGAUCCUUGGAUAUUUCAUUAAAAUGAGUUUCCUGUAAUUGUAUUCAAUUGUGUAAUCUUCCUAAUAAUUAUCUAAUUAUCUCAUCCAUUCUGUAUUUAUAAAAAUUAUCAAUUUUUUCAUUCUUAAAUUAAAAAAAAAAUGAUGAUUUAUAGUUUCUUGUAUUAUACAUCU
Bombus huntii is the source of this 6361-nucleotide long non-coding RNA. RefSeq lists it as uncharacterized. The record is from RefSeq and is a predicted model, not a curated record. NCBI's taxonomy places the organism in Eukaryota, Metazoa, Arthropoda, Insecta, Hymenoptera, Apidae. The transcript has 3 exons.